AACGAACGCUGGCGGCGGGCUUAACACAUGCAAGUCGAGCGCCUCGCAAGAGGAGCGGCAGACGGGUGAGUAACGCGUGGGAACGUACCCUUAUCUUCGGAAUAGCUCUGGGAAACUGGAAGUAAUACCGAAUGUGCCCUUAGGGGGAAAGAUUUAUCGGAUAAGGAUCGGCCCGCGUUGGAUUAGCUAGUUGGUGGGGUAAAGGCCUACCAAGGCGACGAUCCAUAGCUGGUCUGAGAGGAUGAUCAGCCACAUUGGGACUGAGACACGGCCCAAACUCCUACGGGAGGCAGCAGUGGGGAAUAUUGGACAAUGGGCGCAAGCCUGAUCCAGCCAUGCCGCGUGAGUGAUGAAGGCCUUAGGGUUGUAAAGCUCUUUCACCGGAGAAGAUAAUGACGGUAUCCGGAGAAGAAGCCCCGGCUAACUUCGUG
Molecule: ribosomal RNA, 431 nt
Filed under: uncultured bacterium
Lineage: Bacteria
Description: partial 16S ribosomal RNA
Rfam family: Bacterial small subunit ribosomal RNA
Source: RNAcentral